This 69-nucleotide transfer RNA is filed under the name Zanclus cornutus (moorish idol). RNAcentral's name for it is "tRNA-Ala". It matches the Rfam family "tRNA". From Rfam's summary of the family: Transfer RNA (tRNA) molecules are approximately 80 nucleotides in length. Their secondary structure includes four short double-helical elements and three loops (D, anti-codon, and T loops). Lineage: Eukaryota; Metazoa; Chordata; Actinopteri; Acanthuriformes; Zanclidae. The record is from RNAcentral.
AAGGCCUUAGCUUAGUUAAAGCGUCUGUUUUGCAUGCAGAAGAUGUGAGGUAACUCCUCGCAGGUCUUA